AUUGCGCAGGAGAUGUAUCCUUUCUCUUGUUGAUACACAUUUGGAUUGUUUCCAGUUUGGGGGUAUUUUAAAGCUGUUAGGAAAUUCUUGUGCUCAUUUCUAAUUUUUAGCAAGUAAUAUUAACUUGAAUUUGUUUCAUCAGACCUUUAAAAUGCAGGUUUGAACAUUUAGGAAUAUUGUACAGGGAAUGGAUCCACAAGAUAUCUGCUUGUUUUUGAUGCAGUGUGAAGAAUGCAUGAUCAUUGCAUUCACAUUGAGUUGAGCUGGAUGGUUGUAAAGAUAUGCUUGGCCGCUAUUGAAUUACCUAAAAAUUAAUUUGUAGCAGGCAGGAGCAACUGUGGCAUUGCCAAGUCUCAUUCCCAGCCCUCAUGUCCUAGAAGAUGAAUGGGAUGGAGCCAGAAGUGAUGUGUAAAAUGGGAUGGAAGCAGAAGAUAGAUUCCACUGCUAAAAACUGCAUGGAUUAUGGGAAGUUGGGGACGAGAGAGGGGAAUGAGUAGUAUCUUGUUCUGUCGGCCUCCUCGAUCCAAGGCUUUCUUGUGAAUUCGUUUUUAC
RNAcentral lists this long non-coding RNA (552 nucleotides) under Pongo abelii (Sumatran orangutan). RNAcentral describes it as "lincRNA". Lineage: Eukaryota; Metazoa; Chordata; Mammalia; Primates; Hominidae. The record is from RNAcentral.